UACGUAGGGGGCGAGCGUUAUCCGGAAUCAUUGGGCGUAAAGCGCGCGCAGGCGGGCUUUCAAGCGGCGGCGUCGAAGCCGGGGGCUCAACCCCCGGAAGCGCCCCGAACUGGAAGCCUCGGAUGCGGCAGGGGGAGGCGGAAUUCCCGGUGUAGCGGUGAAAUGCGCAGAUAUCGGGAAGAACACCGACGGCGAAGGCAGCCUCCUGGGCCGGCAUCGACGCUGAGGCGCGAAAGCGGGGGGAGCGAACAGGAUUAGAUACCCUGGUAGUCCCAGCCGUAAACGAUGGACGCUAGGUGUGGGGGGAUCGGUCCCUCCGUGCCGAAGCCAACGCAUUAAGCGUCCCGCCUGGAGAGUACGGCCGCAAGGCUAAA
RNAcentral lists this ribosomal RNA (374 nucleotides) under uncultured bacterium. RNAcentral's name for it is "partial 16S ribosomal RNA". It matches the Rfam family "Bacterial small subunit ribosomal RNA", at positions 524 to 898 of the family's 1533-position model. The record is from RNAcentral.